AAACCAACAGGGAUUGCCCCAGUAGCGGCGAGUGAAGCGGCAAGAGCUCAGAUUUGAAAUCGUGCCAAUUUUUUUGGCACGAGUUGUAGAGUGUAGGCGGGAGUCUUUGUGGAGCACGGUGUCCAAGUCCCUUGGAACAGGGCGCCUGAGAGGGUGAGAGCCCCGUGGGGUGUCGUGCGAAGCUUUGAGGCCCUGCUGACGAGUCGAGUUGUUUGGGAAUGCAGCUCCAAGUGGGUGGUAAAUUCCAUCUAAGGCUAAAUACUGGCGAGAGACCGAUAGCGAACAAGUACUGUGAAGGAAAGAUGAAAAGCACUUUGAAAAGAGAGUGAAACAGCACGUGAAAUUGUUGAAAGGGAAGGGUAUUGGGCCCGACAUGGGGAGUGCGCACCGCUGUCUCUUGUAGGCGGCGCUCUGGGCGCUCUCUGGGCCAGCAUCGGUUCUUGCUGCGGGAGAAUGGGUGCCGGAAAGUGGCUCUUCGGAGUGUUAUAGCCGGCGCCAGAUACCGCGUGCGGGGACCGAGGACUGCGGCUUC
This 532-nucleotide ribosomal RNA is filed under the name Pichia membranifaciens. RNAcentral's name for it is "eukaryotic LSU rRNA". It matches the Rfam family "Eukaryotic large subunit ribosomal RNA", at positions 62 to 604 of the family's 3401-position model. The record is from RNAcentral. Lineage: Eukaryota; Fungi; Ascomycota; Pichiomycetes; Pichiales; Pichiaceae.